Molecule: ribosomal RNA, 497 nt
Filed under: uncultured bacterium
Lineage: Bacteria
Description: partial 16S ribosomal RNA
Rfam family: Bacterial small subunit ribosomal RNA
Source: RNAcentral
GACGAACGCUGGCGGCGUGCCUAAUACAUGCAAGUUGAGCGCUGAAGGUUGGUACUUGUACCAACUGGAUGAGCAGCGAACGGGUGAGUAACGCGUGGGGAAUCUGCCUUUGAGCGGGGGACAACAUUUGGAAACGAAUGCUAAUACCGCAUAAAAACUUUAAACACAAGUUUUAAGUUUGAAAGAUGCAAUUGCAUCACUCAAAGAUGAUCCCGCGUUGUAUUAGCUAGUUGGUGAGGUAAAGGCUCACCAAGGCGAUGAUACAUAGCCGACCUGAGAGGGUGAUCGGCCACAUUGGGAAUGAGACACGGCCCAAACUCCUACGGGAGGCAGCAGUAGGGAAUCUUCAGGAAUGGACGAAAGUCUGACCGAGCAACACCGCGUGAGUGAAGAAGGUUUUCGGAUCGUAAAACUCUGUUGGUAGAGAAGAACGUUGGUGAGAGUGGAAAGCUCAUAAAGUGACGGUAACUACCCAGAAAGGGACGGCUAACUACGUG